AACGAACGCUGGCGGCAGGCUUAACACGUGCAAGUCGAACGGAUCCUUCGGGAUUAGUGGCAGACGGGUGAGUAACGCGUGGGAACGUACCCUUUGCUACGGAAUAACUCAGGGAAACUUGAGCUAAUACCGUAUGUGCCCUACGGGGGAAAGAUUUAUCGGCAAAGGAUCGGCCCGCGUUGGAUUAGCUAGUUGGUGGGGUAAUGGCCUACCAAGGCGACGAUCCAUAGCUGGUCUGAGAGGAUGAUCAGCCACACUGGGACUGAGACACGGCCCAGACUCCUACGGGAGGCAGCAGUGGGGAAUAUUGGACAAUGGGCGCAAGCCUGAUCCAGCCAUGCCGCGUGAGUGAUGAAGGUCUUAGGAUUGUAAAGCUCUUUCACCGGUGAAGAUAAUGACGGUAGCCGGAGAAGAAGCCCCGGCUAACUUCGUG
Molecule: ribosomal RNA, 433 nt
Filed under: uncultured bacterium
Lineage: Bacteria
Description: partial 16S ribosomal RNA
Rfam family: Bacterial small subunit ribosomal RNA
Source: RNAcentral